UGAGGAAUAUUGGUCAAUGGGCGUAAGCCUGAACCAGCCAAGUCGCGUGAGGGAUGAAGGUUCUAUGGAUCGUAAACCUCUUUUAUAAGGGAAUAAAGUGCGGGACGUGUCCUGUUUUGUAUGUACCUUAUGAAUAAGGAUCGGCUAACUCCGUGCCAGCAGCCGCGGUAAUACGGAGGAUCCGAGCGUUAUCCGGAUUUAUUGGGUUUAAAGGGUGCGUAGGCGGCCUUUUAAGUCAGCGGUGAAAGUCUGUGGCUCAACCAUAGAAUUGCCGUUGAAACUGGGAGGCUUGAGUAUGUUUGAGGCAGGCGGAAUGCGUGGUGUAGCGGUGAAAUGCUUAGAUAUCACGCAGAACCCCGAUUGCGAAGGCAGCAUACCGGCGCUCAACUGACGCUGAGGCACGAAAGCGUGGGGAUCGAACAGGAUUAGAUACC
RNAcentral lists this ribosomal RNA (434 nucleotides) under uncultured bacterium. Its description in RNAcentral is "bacterial SSU rRNA". It matches the Rfam family "Bacterial small subunit ribosomal RNA", at positions 355 to 786 of the family's 1533-position model. The record is from RNAcentral.